AACGAACGCUGGCGGCAGGCCUAACACAUGCAAGUCGAACGCUCCGCAAGGGGAGUGGCGCACGGGUGAGUAACACGUGGGAACCUACCUUCUGGUACGGAACAACCAAGGGAAACUUUGGCUAAGACCGUAUACGACCUCCGGGUGAAAGAUUGAUCGCCGGAAGAGGGGCCCGCGUCCGAUUAGGUAGUUGGUGAGGUAACGGCUCACCAAGCCUUCGAUCGGUAGCUGGUCUGAGAGGAUGACCAGCCACACUGGGACUGAGACACGGCCCAGACUCCUACGGGAGGCAGCAGUGGGGAAUAUUGGACAAUGGGCGCAAGCCUGAUCCAGCCAUGCCGCGUGAGUGAUGAAGGCCUUCGGUUGUUAAGUAC
RNAcentral lists this ribosomal RNA (374 nucleotides) under uncultured bacterium. RNAcentral's name for it is "bacterial SSU rRNA". It matches the Rfam family "Bacterial small subunit ribosomal RNA", at positions 29 to 433 of the family's 1533-position model. The record is from RNAcentral.